CCAUUUUGCAAGACAAGAAAAAGUGCAAGCAAGAGUGAGUGGUCCUAAAAGAAAAGGCAAUCACUACAUAUUUGAACAACAAACCCUCCAUUCCCCCCAUUAUAUAAAGAGGCUGCAAAUAUUAGUUUCUCAUGCACCACUGCAAAUCUCUCUCUUAGCCCUCCUCAGACACAAAGAGAGUUUAUUAUAUUUAAGAAGAUGGUUUCAAGGUUGGAAGAAGCAAUGAAAAUGAGGCAGCUCAAGGAAUUUAAGGGCGGACGAGAGAGUAAUCAUCAGCAAAAGCAAAUACAAUGCAAGAAAGGGAAAGAUAACAAGUUCAAGAGGAGCAGUUUCAAUCUUGAAGAUGGAGCUUCUUCUGCUAUUCUUUUUCUCGCUUGCAUUGCAUUCGCGUCGUCUCCCUUAUAGAUUAAAUGUGGCCAUUAAUUUACCUAGCUAGUGUUUACUAUUUCAUGAGGAUUAUGUAGAAACUAUAUUUCAAUGUUUUGAAAUGUUAUCUGUAAUUCUAGCAAGAAAGUAGAUUUGUAAUUUGCUAAUACAAUGAAUAGUUAGCAAAGUUGUUACGUUUUUGUUGGGAUUCUCUAUUGGUUUCGUAACAUGUUCGGCUUCUCCUUCAUUUGAGAAAGUUCAUGUUGAAAUCAAUUUUUGUUUGAACAUUAGAUCAACCGAAUAACUUAUGCGAACUUUGUAGGCUAUUCUAGGUCAAAGUAUAUGUGACGGCUAAAGUUCUACAAGAUCUCAAAUGAUAUUGAGC
This 751-nucleotide long non-coding RNA is filed under the name Olea europaea (common olive). RNAcentral's name for it is "long non-coding RNA (OEUR_LNC000397)". The record is from RNAcentral. Lineage: Eukaryota; Viridiplantae; Streptophyta; Magnoliopsida; Lamiales; Oleaceae.